Molecule: long non-coding RNA, 191 nt
Filed under: Anser brachyrhynchus (Pink-footed goose)
Lineage: Eukaryota; Metazoa; Chordata; Aves; Anseriformes; Anatidae
Description: lncRNA (ENSABRG00000003097.1)
Source: RNAcentral
UCAGAUUUUCAGGUUCAAUUGCUUAAUUAUUUUGCUUUCUUUCUAUCACUUCUACCUUCAGGUUGCAGCUUAGAUUUUCCCUCAUGGAUUUGUAUGUGCAAUGUAAUACCAGCUUUUCAAAUUGACAAAUGGGUUUUCUACACACUUGCAUUCAGAAGACUCUUUUCUCUCUUACUCUGCCCAACAUACAG